This 479-nucleotide ribosomal RNA is filed under the name Streptococcus parasanguinis. RNAcentral's name for it is "bacterial SSU rRNA". It matches the Rfam family "Bacterial small subunit ribosomal RNA", at positions 28 to 490 of the family's 1533-position model. The record is from RNAcentral. Lineage: Bacteria; Bacillati; Bacillota; Bacilli; Lactobacillales; Streptococcaceae.
GAUGAACGCUGGCGGCGUGCCUAAUACAUGCAAGUAGAACGCUGAAGCUUGGUGCUUGCACCGAGCGGAUGAGUUGCGAACGGGUGAGUAACGCGUAGGUAACCUGCCUCUUAGCGGGGGAUAACUAUUGGAAACGAUAGCUAAUACCGCAUAAAAGUCGAUAUCGCAUGAUAUUGAUUUGAAAGGUGCAAUUGCAUCACUAAGAGAUGGACCUGCGUUGUAUUAGCUAGUUGGUGAGGUAACGGCUCACCAAGGCGACGAUACAUAGCCGACCUGAGAGGGUGAUCGGCCACACUGGGACUGAGACACGGCCCAGACUCCUACGGGAGGCAGCAGUAGGGAAUCUUCGGCAAUGGGGGCAACCCUGACCGAGCAACGCCGCGUGAGUGAAGAAGGUUUUCGGAUCGUAAAGCUCUGUUGUAAGAGAAGAACGAGUGUGAGAGUGGAAAGUUCACACUGUGACGGUAACUACCAGAAAG